Molecule: ribosomal RNA, 553 nt
Filed under: uncultured bacterium
Lineage: Bacteria
Description: bacterial LSU rRNA
Rfam family: Bacterial large subunit ribosomal RNA
Source: RNAcentral
AUAGCGGGUGACAGCCCCGUAGUCGAAAGCGGACAGAGCCCUAGCGGAUACCCGAGUACCGCAGGACACGAGAAAUCCGGCGGGAAUCUGGGAGGACCAUCUUCCAAGGCUAAGUACUCCUGACUGACCGAUAGUGAACUAGUACCGCGAGGGAAAGGUGAAAAGAACCCCGGUUAGGGGAGUGAAAUAGUACCUGAAACCGUGUGCCUACAAGCAGUGGGAGCGCUAUGCCCGCAAGGGAAGGCGUCACCACGUACCUUUUGCAUAAUGGGCCUGCGAGUUACCGUACGUGGCAAGGUUAAGCCGAGAGGUGGAGCCGAAGGGAAACCGAGUCCUAACAGGGCGAAGAGUCGCGUGCGGUAGACCCGAAACCUUAGCGAUCUAUCCAUGUCCAGGUUGAAGAGCGGGUAACACCGCUUGGAGGACCGAACUCACCAUAGUUGAAAAUAUGGGGGAUGAGGUGUGGAUAGGAGUGAAAGGCUAAUCAAGCUGGGAUAUAGCUGGUUCUCCCCGAAAUAUAUUGAGGUAUAGCCUCGGACGAAUUGCGCCGGAG